GAUACCUUUUGGGUCUCGGCGGAGGAGGCGAGACACCGGACCCGGUCGGGUCCGAUGGGGGCUCGGGAGAAGUUUCUUGCAGGGGCCGUGAGGAGACGGAGCCGCCAAUGACCGUUGGCAAGAUGGCGCCGGCUGAGCCGACCGCGCUCAGUUCAAAAGAAGACAAACAACAAGAGAGUGAAUGUUUGUUGUCUCGUCCCCCUCCCCCGUAUCCGAACCCCUCAGGCGGAACGUUGAGAAGAAGAAGAAUGAGAAAAGAAUGUGGAGACGGCCAAAUAGGGCAUGAUGUUGUCUGGUAUGAACCAAUCAGAGUGGGACAUGACAGCACGGUUUUGUAGGUAAAAAUGUAAUAUAAGCUGUGUUUUAGUAGUGAAUAGAG
Molecule: long non-coding RNA, 379 nt
Filed under: Gallus gallus (chicken)
Lineage: Eukaryota; Metazoa; Chordata; Aves; Galliformes; Phasianidae
Description: lncRNA (ENSGALG00010023895.1)
Source: RNAcentral